UUGGUUUGAAGGGAGCUCUAC
Molecule: microRNA, 21 nt
Filed under: Picea abies (Norway spruce)
Lineage: Eukaryota; Viridiplantae; Streptophyta; Pinopsida; Pinales; Pinaceae
Description: pab-miR159a
Gene: pab-miR159a
Source: miRBase by way of RNAcentral